This 24-nucleotide ribosomal RNA is filed under the name Gilbertella persicaria var. indica. Its description in RNAcentral is "partial 28S ribosomal RNA". Lineage: Eukaryota; Fungi; Mucoromycota; Mucoromycetes; Mucorales; Choanephoraceae. The record is from RNAcentral.
AUCKGAAAUCAGGUGGGACUACCC